CGUAGGGUCCGAGCGUUGUCCGGAAUUAUUGGGGCGUAAAAGGGCUCGUAGGCGGUUUGUCGCGUCGGGAGUGAAACAACCGGCGUUAACUCGGUGCUUGCUUUCGAUACGGGCAGACUGGAGGUAUGCAGGGGAGAACGGAAUUCCUGGUGUAGCGGUGAAAUGCGCAGAUAUCAGGAGGAACACCGGUGGCGAAGGCGGUUCUCUGGGCAUUACCUGACGCUGAGGAGCGAAAGUAGUGGGGAGCGAACAGGAUU
This 257-nucleotide ribosomal RNA is filed under the name uncultured bacterium. RNAcentral's name for it is "partial 16S ribosomal RNA". It matches the Rfam family "Bacterial small subunit ribosomal RNA", at positions 526 to 779 of the family's 1533-position model. The record is from RNAcentral.